Long non-coding RNA from Chelonia mydas (Green sea turtle), 1592 nucleotides. RefSeq lists it as uncharacterized. The record is from RefSeq and is a predicted model, not a curated record. NCBI's taxonomy places the organism in Eukaryota, Metazoa, Chordata, Testudines, Cheloniidae. The transcript is spliced from 3 exons.
GUCUAGGCUGGCAAAUCCAGAGAGGAGGGCGGGGGGGUAGCUAGAAAAGUAAGAAAGGUUUUUGGGGAAAAGACAGUAAGGUCCAGGAUGGAACAGACCUUGGCUGUUGAUUAAAGGGUCCCUGAACAGGAACCUGGAGUAGAGGGUGCACCUGGGUUCCCCUACUAGGCCCUGGGGAAGUAGCACAAGCCAAGUAGUGGAGAGCAGACUACCUGGGACAGUUUGCCCCAAAAGACUUUGAUACUGUAGAAGGGGAGUGACCUGGCUGCAACUCCUGGUCAGAGAGGAUAAUGGGUGGAGAGAUUACCAAAAGAGAGGACAGCACCGGGAAGAAGCUAAUCCUAAAAGCAGCUGGGAAGAGGUGUCCCUAACAGAGACCCACUAAAUCGACUGCCGAUCCAUUGGUCACCGCACCUCGAACCCUCAGGUGAUGUGCAGUGAUUCAUGAUGCUUCCCAAUGGUCUGACAUUUGGGAUCAGAGGGAUGAACUCAACGGUAUGAUGUGCCAAAUGUCAGGAACUCAACUGCCUCUGGGCUUGGUUGCUUAGUAACCCAAUGAGCUCACUAAGUGAUUGGUCAGAAGAGCCAAGAGAUCACCAUUUAAGACCUGUCGCAACAGCAGCGCUGUGGGUGCUCAAUGUUCCAUGCCUGCAGCUGUGCCAAUCUGCCUCCUGUCAAGCUCUUGCUCCCCCAUUGCCUGCUCAAUGCCAGCCUAGUUCCUGCCUACUUCUGAACUCCAGCUGUCCUCGCCACGCCUCCAGUCCUGUCCUCUCAUUUUGCACUGACUGCUAGGCCAGAUUCCUGCUCUGACCUCUAGGUCGCACCACCUACACCUAGGUGUGUGACAUCAAAUACCUGCUGUGUUGCUUCCUGUUUGCUGUCUGUGACCCAGACAGCAUCUGCCAUCUACCAGUUGGUGCCAAUAGGGGCUCCUAGGGGUUUACAGGGAUCCCUUGAGGCUGGUAUAUGCAUAAUAAUUCACCAAAGGGUGACCUGUAAAGUCUCUACCAAGAGUCAGGAACUUACUAGUCAUCAUAGUCAUUGUGCAAUGUAUGUACUGAUGACAUUUAAGAAACUGUAUCUAUAUACUGGACAUUAUGGUCUUGAAGUUUAAAAGCAGAGCCCCAGGAGGUGACAGGCCCUGGACGGAUUCUGUUCAGGCAGGGGGUAGGAGACACCUCUCUCUCCAUCUGGUCAGGUGUGUAUUGUGUGCCUCACAUUAGAAGUCUAUUUGCAGCAUAGAGCCACCAACUAAUCAAGACACUGAAAUCUCCAGAAAGGAACACACAGCAGGAGAGUGUCUGUUUUAUGAAUAAAGAUCAAAGGAUCGUUUGGAUAUAUUUGGGGUUGCAAGGAGAGAGACAGUAUCCUUCAUCAAGGAGAGGAAUUGCUAGCAUGUUCUGCCUUAUGAAAAGAGGGUCACAGCCAAUCUGGCUGAAAAACUCUGCAAAGCUAAAUUUUAUUAGGGAAGUAUCUUGAUUAAGUCUAGGCUGUAGAAUGCAUGCUAGGAUUUUGUUUGACAACUAAUUAUUUCCAAUAUUUCUCCUUUCUAUCAUUUUGAAUCUCUACCCUCUUGUUAAAUAAACUUUACU